UACAGAGGUGGCAAGCGUUGUUCGGAUUUACUGGGCGUAAAGGGCGCGUAGGCGGCCAGCACAAGUCAGUUGUGAAAUCUCCGAGCUUAACUCGGAAAGGUCAACUGAUACUGUGCGGCUAGAGUGCGGAAGGGGCAACUGGAAUUCUUGGUGUAGCGGUGAAAUGCGUAGAUAUCAAGAGGAACACCUGCGGCGAAGGCGGGUUGCUGGGCCGACACUGACGCUGAGGCGCGAAGGCGUGGGGAGCGAACGGG
Molecule: ribosomal RNA, 254 nt
Filed under: uncultured bacterium
Lineage: Bacteria
Description: partial 16S ribosomal RNA
Rfam family: Bacterial small subunit ribosomal RNA
Source: RNAcentral